CUAGAUUGGUGACCCAUUUCCUUCUUCAGCAGACUAAGAAAAGCAAAGAAUCACUGGUGUUUGCCUGUCAUGACCAAAUUUCCAUUUUAUCAUUUGGGAUGUGAUGAUUCUCAUUGCUACAUAAGAGGAGUUGGGAUCUCCCUGAUGCUUUACUCAUAAUGGUGAAAGAAUUGAGGCGAUCUAGACUGGACAAGAUGAGACAAAAAAAAAAGAAGUAUGUACAAUCAUACAAAGAAAGAGGAAGAAAUUAUUAGAGGGAGAGAUGUGAGUUCGAUCCUGGAGCUUGAGCUUGGAGGAGCCCUGCAAACAGCUUGCCUUCAGAUUGGUCAUGUGAGUGAUAAGAACUGACUCCCUUCUCUGCCUUGGCUCUCCAAGG
Molecule: long non-coding RNA, 376 nt
Filed under: Monodelphis domestica (gray short-tailed opossum)
Lineage: Eukaryota; Metazoa; Chordata; Mammalia; Didelphimorphia; Didelphidae
Description: lncRNA (ENSMODG00000035338.2)
Source: RNAcentral